Non-coding RNA from Podarcis lilfordi (Lilford's wall lizard), 73 nucleotides. NCBI's taxonomy places the organism in Eukaryota, Metazoa, Chordata, Lepidosauria, Squamata, Lacertidae. The record is from the annotation of a GenBank genome assembly.
GGGCAGAUAGCUCAGGUGGUAGAGCAUGAUACUCUUGAUCUCAGGAUCAUGGAUUCAAGUCCCACACUGGGCA